RNAcentral lists this ribosomal RNA (1673 nucleotides) under Acanthogobius lactipes. Its description in RNAcentral is "16S ribosomal RNA". The stretch from base 95 to 1594 matches the Rfam family "Bacterial large subunit ribosomal RNA". Lineage: Eukaryota; Metazoa; Chordata; Actinopteri; Gobiiformes; Gobiidae. The record is from RNAcentral.
CCCGAACAGCUAGCCCACCCAGUAAAUAUCAACAAACAACAUUAAUUAACCCCCAAAAUCCGAACAGAACCUACUAAAACAUUUUACCCCCUGAGUAUGGGAGACAGAAAAGGACGUUAGGCGCUAUAGAAACAGUACCGCAAGGGAAAGCUGAAAGAGAAAUGAAAAAACCCAGUGAAGGACAUAAAAGCAGAGACAAGGCCUCGUACCUUUUGCAUCAUGAUUUAGCCAGAAAUUAUCAAGCAAAGCGCCCUAUAGUUUGAACCCCCGAAACUGAGCGAGCUACUCCAGGACAGCCUAUUGCAGGGCAAACCCGUCUCUGUGGCAAAAGAGUGGGAAGAUCUUCGAGUAGAGGUGACAGACCUACCGAGCACAGUUAUAGCUGGUUACUCACAAAAUGAAUAGAAGUUCAGCCUUUAGAAUUUUUUACACCAAAAAGGUUAUGUACCAGCAGUGAUGAAAAGAAAAACUAAAGAGUUAUUCAAGGGGGGAACAGCCCCCUUGAAAAAAGAUACAACUUUAAUGGAAGGCUAAAGAUCAUAAUUUAUAAGGCAAAAUACCCAGGUGGGCCUAAAAGCAGCCACCCCCUAGAAAGCGUUAAAGCUCAAGUACCUGCCUAUCCUUAAUACCGACCACCAGUCUUAUGCCCCCACACAUAGUGAGUCUUUCCAUGCACCCAUGGAAGCGAUACUGCUAAAAUGAGUAAUAAGAGGGCCGCCCCUCUCCUGUCACCUGUAUAACUCAGAACGAACUCGCACUGAAAAUUAACGCCCCCAAAUAAAGAGGGUAAUGAGAAAAUUAGUAUAAGCAGGAAAACCUCUCACAUAUACAGCGUUGACCCUACACAGGUGUGUUCAAGGAAAGACUAAAAGAAAAAGAAGGAACUCGGCAAACAACGGCCUCGCCUGUUUACCAAAAACAUCGCCUCUUGCAACAAUAACCGUAUAAGAGGUCCUGCCUGCCCUGUGACAUUUAAGUUUAACGGCCGCGGUAUCCUGACCGUGCGAAGGUAGCGUAAUCACUUGUCUUUUAAAUGAAGACCUGUAUGAAUGGCAAGACGAGGGCUUAGCUGUCUCCUUUUUCCAGUCAAUGAAAUUGAUCUCCCCGUGCAGAAGCGGGGAUACCAACAUAAGACGAGAAGACCCCAUGGAGCUUAAGACACAGAGCAGCUCAUACUACAAUACCUAGAUUAACAGAAAUAAGUUUAUGACACCUGCUCACAUGUCUUUGGUUGGGGCGACCGCGGGGAAACAACCAACCCCCAUGUGGAACAGGAGUACUACUCCUUAAAGCCAGAGCCACAGCUCUAACAAGCAGAAAAUCUGACCUUCGAGAUCCGGCAAAGCCGAUCAACGGACCAAGUUACCCUGGGGAUAACAGCGCAAUCCUCUUUUAGAGCCCAUAUCGACAAGAGGGUUUACGACCUCGAUGUUGGAUCAGGACAUCCUAAUGGUGCAGCCGCUAUUAAGGGUUCGUUUGUUCAACGAUUAAAGUCCUACGUGAUCUGAGUUCAGACCGGAGAAAUCCAGGUCAGUUUCUAUCUAUGACUGCUCUUUUCUAGUACGAAAGGACCGAAAAGAGGGGGCCCAUGCAACCAGUAAGCCCCUUCCUGCACUAAUGAAGCCAACUUAAUUAGGCAAAGGACAUAUUAUUACUUCCUAAGAAAAAGGAAC